AACUUUCGACAAUGGAUCACUUGGCUCUCGCAUCGAUGAAGAACGCAGCGAAAUGCGAUGCGUAAUGUGAAUUGCAGAAUUCAGUGAAUCAUCGAAUCUUUGAACGCACCUUGCGCCCCUUGGCAUUCCGAGGGGCACACCCGUUUGAGUGUCGUGAAAUUCUCAAAAACCUUUCUUUGGAAGGGAUUUUGGACUUGGAGGCCUUUUGCUGGUUUCACCUCGAAGCGAGCUGCUCCCAAAUGGAUUAGAGGGAUCCGCUUUGCCGAUCCUUGACGUGAGAAGAUGUUUCUACGUCUUGGGUUUGGCACUGUCUCUCGGGCACCCGCUUCUAACCGUCUUGUCGACAACGAUGGCGUUCCGGUCGCCACCGUUUCAUCGGUGGGAGGCUUGACCCACCAAAAAACCUUAACCUCAAAUGGGGUGAGACUACCCGCUGAACUUAAGCAUAUCAAUAAGCGGAGGCU
RNAcentral lists this unclassified non-coding RNA (464 nucleotides) under uncultured Russula. RNAcentral describes it as "sequence contains ITS2". The stretch from base 1 to 154 matches the Rfam family "5.8S ribosomal RNA". The record is from RNAcentral. Lineage: Eukaryota; Fungi; Basidiomycota; Agaricomycetes; Russulales; Russulaceae.